AAUUGGAAUUUUGGGGGUUUUAGGGAUUGGGAUCUGGGACUCCGCCCCUCCCCCCUCACAAACCACGCCCAAAAGGGGGCGGGGCCAAAUUGUAUUUAUUCCAAUGUGGGCGGAGCUUGAAGGUGACCACGCCCCCUUUCCGAACCCUCAAACCACACACCAAAAAGGGGCGGGGCCAAACCAUCUUUAUUCCAUGGUGGGCGGAGCUUUGAUGUGACCACGCCCCCCACAGACCACAUCCACAAAAGUGUGGGCGGGGCCCAAAUUAUCUUUAAUUCAUUGUGGGCGGAGCUUGGUGGUGACCACGCCCCCCACAAACCACAUCCAAAAAAGUGGGGGCGGGGCCAAAUCGUCUUUAUUCCAUUGUGGGCGGAGCUUGGUGGUGACCACACCCCCCACAGACCACAUCCAACAAGGGGGGUGGGGCCAAAUAAUCUUUUAUUCAUUGUGGGCGGAGCUUUGAUGUGACCACGC
RNAcentral lists this long non-coding RNA (474 nucleotides) under Zonotrichia albicollis (white-throated sparrow). RNAcentral describes it as "lncRNA (ENSZALG00000002129.1)". The record is from RNAcentral. Lineage: Eukaryota; Metazoa; Chordata; Aves; Passeriformes; Passerellidae.